RNAcentral lists this ribosomal RNA (484 nucleotides) under uncultured bacterium. RNAcentral's name for it is "partial 16S ribosomal RNA". It matches the Rfam family "Bacterial small subunit ribosomal RNA", at positions 30 to 507 of the family's 1533-position model. The record is from RNAcentral.
AUUGAACGCUGGCGGCAGGCCUAACACAUGCAAGUCGAGCGGAUGAAGGGAGCUUGCUCCUGGAUUCAGCGGCGGACGGGUGAGUAAUGCCUAGGAAUCUGCCUGGUAGUGGGGGAUAACGUCCGGAAACGGGCGCUAAUACCGCAUACGACCUGAGGGAGAAAGUGGGGGAUCUUCGGACCUCCCGCUAUCAGAUGAGCCUAGGUCGGAUUAGCUAGUUGGUGGGGUAAAGGCCUACCAAGGCGACGAUCCGUAACUGGUCUGAGAGGAUGAUCAGUCACACUGGGACUGAGACACGGUCCAGACUCCUACGGGAGGCAGCAGUGGGGAAUAUUGGACAAUGGGCGAAAGCCUGAUCCAGCCAUGCCGCGUGUGUGAAGAAGGUCUUCGGAUUGUAAAGCACUUUAAGUUGGGAGGAAGGGCAGUAAGUUAAUACCUUGCUGUUUUGACGGUACCAACAGAAUAAGCACCGGCUAACUUCGUG